GCCGGCUGCCACCCCCCACCCCGGGCCAGUGAGCAGAGGGACAGCUUGGGGCGGCUCUGGGGCACGGCUGCCUCCCCGCACCCCAGGGUGCCGGCACCUGGUGAGGGGAACGGCGACAGCCCCCAUGCGAGCCUCUCCGUGGGUCUGCAGCCAUGGGAGCGGUUUGAUGGGGUCUGAGCCCCCUUGGGGUGCUGGGUGCCAGCCAGCAGAGGGGACAGGGACGGCUGUGGUCUGUCCUCUUGCCUGUCCCAGCUCGGCAUCCCAGGAGCUCCUGGCCGAGCCGGGCACCGGUGAGUUAAUUCCCAGCCCCACGGCGCUGCGGCAGUGGCCGCCUGCUGCUGGCCGGCACGCUGGCCUUUGAUGAGAUGAUAACAGAGCCCGCCCGGUGCCUUGCUACAGGUCGCCGGAAACUUUUCUUCGUCACCAGCUGCUGGAAAGGUCAAGGUGUCCUCCUCCCCGUGCUAAUCCUGGCCCCUGCCCUUUCGCUGCCGUACGCCGGACCCGGUCGAGAUGUCUCAGUGCAGCCGCAUCCCCGGGGGGAUGCUCAUGCAGCUGUGGGGAGCAGUCGGUGUGUCGGAGACGCUGCUGGCCGGGCAGGGACCCGCAGGUUUGCUGCUGCCCUGGGAGCUGUCGGAGCCCAGCUCAGCACACGCAGCUCCAACGGGGCCCCAGAGGCGCUCAGGGCCGCAGCUCGGGGUGGCUCUGCCCCAUCCCAGCCAGCUCAGCCUGGCACGGGGCAGCAGGGCCGUGGGGCUGGCAGGAGGUGCCCAGGAGGAGCCCAGCCUCAGCCUCCCCUUCCCUGCCUUGCCUGAGAGGCCUGGGCUGGCUGUACAAAGCCCGGCCUUCCACAGCUCUGGGCCAACCUGAAGAGGCUGAAGAGAAGCCCUGGGGAGCUUUCUCAUGCCUCUUUGUUCGUGGAGCAAAGAUAUUCCCAGCCCCGAACCUAUAUAGAUUGGCCCUUAAACUAAAACAACCUCCGGGGACCAAAGAAACAAAAGUGGGUUUUGGGUUGUGUUUUGUUUUGUUUCGCGGUGUUUUGUUUCCUGCGCAGACAGCCUUUGCCCAGGAGGGGUUAGCAUGAAAAAUGCAUGUGGGGAUUGGGGGAAUGGGGGAGCGCGAGGAAGCAGCUAUCGAUCAAGCAGCUCUGAAAGCCACACAGCUGUGCCAGCCCCGCUGCCGCCGCUCGCUGCUGUGCCGGGGCUGGGGGCCGAGAGGUGCCGGCACCCA
This 1227-nucleotide long non-coding RNA is filed under the name Anas platyrhynchos platyrhynchos (common mallard). RNAcentral's name for it is "lncRNA (ENSAPLG00000019091.1)". The record is from RNAcentral. Lineage: Eukaryota; Metazoa; Chordata; Aves; Anseriformes; Anatidae.